RNAcentral lists this ribosomal RNA (2923 nucleotides) under Klebsiella pneumoniae. Its description in RNAcentral is "bacterial LSU rRNA". It matches the Rfam family "Bacterial large subunit ribosomal RNA". Lineage: Bacteria; Pseudomonadati; Pseudomonadota; Gammaproteobacteria; Enterobacterales; Enterobacteriaceae. The record is from RNAcentral.
GGGUUGUGAGGUUAAGCGACUAAGCGUACACGGUGGAUGCCCUGGCAGUCAGAGGCGAUGAAGGACGUGCUAAUCUGCGAAAAGCGUCGGUAAGGUGAUAUGAACCGUUAUAACCGGCGAUGUCCGAAUGGGGAAACCCAGUGCAAUUCGUUGCACUAUCGUUAACUGAAUACAUAGGUUAACGAGGCGAACCGGGGGAACUGAAACAUCUAAGUACCCCGAGGAAAAGAAAUCAACCGAGAUUCCCCCAGUAGCGGCGAGCGAACGGGGAGCAGCCCAGAGUCUGAAUCAGCUUGUGUGUUAGUGGAACGGUCUGGAAAGUCCGACGGUACAGGGUGAUAGUCCCGUACACCAAAAUGCACAGGUUGUGAACUCGAAGAGUAGGGCGGGACACGUGGUAUCCUGUCUGAAUAUGGGGGGACCAUCCUCCAAGGCUAAAUACUCCUGACUGACCGAUAGUGAACCAGUACCGUGAGGGAAAGGCGAAAAGAACCCCGGCGAGGGGAGUGAAAAAGAACCUGAAACCGUGUACGUACAAGCAGUGGGAGCACCUUCGGGUGUGACUGCGUACCUUUUGUAUAAUGGGUCAGCGACUUAUAUUCUGUAGCAAGGUUAACCGUAUAGGGGAGCCGCAGGGAAACCGAGUCUUAACUGGGCGUUAAGUUGCAGGGUAUAGACCCGAAACCCGGUGAUCUAGCCAUGGGCAGGUUGAAGGUUGGGUAACACUAACUGGAGGACCGAACCGACUAAUGUUGAAAAAUUAGCGGAUGACUUGUGGCUGGGGGUGAAAGGCCAAUCAAACCGGGAGAUAGCUGGUUCUCCCCGAAAGCUAUUUAGGUAGCGCCUCGUGAACUCAUCUUCGGGGGUAGAGCACUGUUUCGGCUAGGGGGUCAUCCCGACUUACCAACCCGAUGCAAACUACGAAUACCGAAGAAUGUUAUCACGGGAGACACACGGCGGGUGCUAACGUCCGUCGUGAAGAGGGAAACAACCCAGACCGCCAGCUAAGGUCCCAAAGUCAUGGUUAAGUGGGAAACGAUGUGGGAAGGCACAGACAGCCAGGAUGUUGGCUUAGAAGCAGCCAUCAUUUAAAGAAAGCGUAAUAGCUCACUGGUCGAGUCGGCCUGCGCGGAAGAUGUAACGGGGCUAAACCAUGCACCGAAGCUGCGGCAGCGACACUAUGUGUUGUUGGGUAGGGGAGCGUUCUGUAAGCCUGCGAAGGUGUGCUGUGAGGCAUGCUGGAGGUAUCAGAAGUGCGAAUGCUGACAUAAGUAACGAUAAAGCGGGUGAAAAGCCCGCUCGCCGGAAGACCAAGGGUUCCUGUCCAACGUUAAUCGGGGCAGGGUGAGUCGACCCCUAAGGCGAGGCCGAAAGGCGUAGUCGAUGGGAAACAGGUUAAUAUUCCUGUACUUGGUGUUACUGCGAAGGGGGGACGGAGAAGGCUAUGUUAGCCGGGCGACGGUUGUCCCGGUUUAAGCAUGUAGGCUGAUUAUCCAGGCAAAUCCGGAUAAUCAAGGCUGAGGUGUGAUGACGAGGCACUACGGUGCUGAAGUAACAAAUGCCCUGCUUCCAGGAAAAGCCUCUAAGCAUCAGGUAACAUCAAAUCGUACCCCAAACCGACACAGGUGGUCAGGUAGAGAAUACCAAGGCGCUUGAGAGAACUCGGGUGAAGGAACUAGGCAAAAUGGUGCCGUAACUUCGGGAGAAGGCACGCUGGUGUGUAGGUGAAGCCCCUGCGGGUGGAGCUGAGACCAGUCGAAGAUACCAGCUGGCUGCAACUGUUUAUUAAAAACACAGCACUGUGCAAACACGAAAGUGGACGUAUACGGUGUGACGCCUGCCCGGUGCCGGAAGGUUAAUUGAUGGGGUUAUCCGUAAGGAGAAGCUCUUGAUCGAAGCCCCGGUAAACGGCGGCCGUAACUAUAACGGUCCUAAGGUAGCGAAAUUCCUUGUCGGGUAAGUUCCGACCUGCACGAAUGGCGUAAUGAUGGCCAGGCUGUCUCCACCCGAGACUCAGUGAAAUUGAACUCGCUGUGAAGAUGCAGUGUACCCGCGGCAAGACGGAAAGACCCCGUGAACCUUUACUAUAGCUUGACACUGAACAUUGAGCCUUGAUGUGUAGGAUAGGUGGGAGGCUUUGAAGCGUGGACGCCAGUCUGCGUGGAGCCAACCUUGAAAUACCACCCUUUAAUGUUUGAUGUUCUAACGUUGGCCCCUGACCGGGGUUGCGGACAGUGUCUGGUGGGUAGUUUGACUGGGGCGGUCUCCUCCCAAAGCGUAACGGAGGAGCACGAAGGUUAGCUAAUCCUGGUCGGACAUCAGGAGGUUAGUGCAAUGGCAUAAGCUAGCUUGACUGCGAGCGUGACGGCGCGAGCAGGUGCGAAAGCAGGUCAUAGUGAUCCGGUGGUUCUGAAUGGAAGGGCCAUCGCUCAACGGAUAAAAGGUACUCCGGGGAUAACAGGCUGAUACCGCCCAAGAGUUCAUAUCGACGGCGGUGUUUGGCACCUCGAUGUCGGCUCAUCACAUCCUGGGGCUGAAGUAGGUCCCAAGGGUAUGGCUGUUCGCCAUUUAAAGUGGUACGCGAGCUGGGUUUAGAACGUCGUGAGACAGUUCGGUCCCUAUCUGCCGUGGGCGCUGGAGAAUUGAGGGGGGCUGCUCCUAGUACGAGAGGACCGGAGUGGACGCAUCACUGGUGUUCGGGUUGUCAUGCCAAUGGCACUGCCCGGUAGCUAAAUGCGGAAGAGAUAAGUGCUGAAAGCAUCUAAGCACGAAACUUGCCCCGAGAUGAGUUCUCCCUGAGACUUUAAGUCUCCUGAAGGAACGUUGAAGACGACGACGUUGAUAGGCCGGGUGUGUAAGCGCAGCGAUGCGUUGAGCUAACCGGUACUAAUGAACCGUGAGGCUUAACCUUACAACGCCGAAG